CACCCGCAGCUCGAGUGGUGGUCACUUUUAUUGAGCCUAAAGCGUUUGUAGCCGGUUAUGCAAAUCUUCAGAUAAAUUCCUCUGCUUAACAGAUGAUCUUCUGAAGAGACUGCGAGACUUGGGACCGGGUGAGGUUGAAGGUACUUCCGGGGUAGGGGUAAAAUCCUGUAAUCCUGGAAGGACGACCGGUGGCGAAGGCGUUCAACUAGAACGGAUCCGACGGUGAGGAACGAGGGCUAGGGUAGCAAACCGGAUUAGAUACCCGGGUAGUCCUAGCUGUAAACACUGCCCACUUGGUGUUGCCCCUCCGAUGAGGGGAGGCAGUGCCGGAGCGAAGGUGUUAAGUGGGCCGCUUGGGGAGUAUGGUCGCAAGGCUGAAACUUAAAGGAAUUGGCGGGGGAGCACCGCAACGGGAGGAGCGUGCGGUUUAAUUGGAUUCAACGCCGGAAAACUCACCGGGAGCGACCUUUGGAUGAGAGUCAGCCUGAUGAGCUUACUCGAUAGAAGGAGAGGUGGUGCAUGGCCGUCGUCAGCUCGUACCGUAGGGCGUUCACUUAAGUGUGAUAACGAGCGAGACCCCCAUCUCUAAUUGCUAACGUGCAUUCGCGUGCACGCGCACUUUAGAGGGACCGCCAGUGCUAAACUGGAGGAAGGAGGGGUCGACGGCAGGUCAGUACGCCCCGAAUCUCCCGGGCAACACGCGCGCUACAAAGGGCAGGACAAUGAGUUGCCACCUCGAAAGGGGGAGCUAAUCUCGAAACCUGUUCGUAGUUAGGAUUGAGGGCUGUAACUCGCCCUCAUGAAUGUGGAUUCCGUAGUAAUCGCGGGUCAACAGCCCGCGGUGAAUAUGCCCCUGCUCCU
RNAcentral lists this ribosomal RNA (861 nucleotides) under uncultured archaeon. RNAcentral describes it as "bacterial SSU rRNA". It matches the Rfam family "Archaeal small subunit ribosomal RNA", at positions 474 to 1337 of the family's 1478-position model. The record is from RNAcentral.